Molecule: long non-coding RNA, 4510 nt
Organism: Lolium rigidum
Lineage: Eukaryota; Viridiplantae; Streptophyta; Magnoliopsida; Poales; Poaceae
Exons: 3
Source: RefSeq, a predicted model, not a curated record
CGGCGGCAAGGGGGGCGGGGGCGCCCAGGUUUCUCCCUCCAUCUCUCUCUCACUGCCGCCGCCGUGGCCCAGGUCCUCCCUGGCGUGUUCUUCUCAUGUCCCUGUGAGAGAUACCUCUUGCAGCUGCUGGUCCAGAUAAGAGAAAAGAUGCAAGUUUAGGUGGACAUCUGCCUAGAGUUCUCCAUCCACGACAUACAAGAUACAUCAGUCGAAAGACCUGGUUAGUUUUAUGCUCUCUUUCUUGUGUUUGUUCAUCUCCAAUUCUAGGUUCAGAUUAGUACUCCACUAGCUUGUGCGAGUUGCUACGCUGGGACAUGGAAGACCAUCAGGAAAAUCAGCGCAGUCCAGCUGUGGCUAUGAUGCACAUCUCUUGGCAAAAUUCGAGGACUUAAAUCUCGGGGAGCAUAAGUGUCUCACAGGGAAGUUUUAGGCACAAGAUGUUCAAGGUACUGUACAGUUUUUCUUACACAUUCAGAUUUUAUUGGUGAGAGACAUGCUUAUGACAAUCCGUCCUAUUUAAAGAGAUUUCAUUUGAUUAUUUAUCUGCUCUUAUGUAAUUAGAGUGCAAGGAUAAUUUACUUUCAGCAUGUUUAGCCCAUGAGCGACCAGCGUUUUCCAAUGUUGGUUCUUAUGAGAUAUGGUAUCAGUACUCACCGUGAUGUGAAGAACCGUAAAAUUGUUUGUUACUGAUGUAUGCUUCCGUUUUUACCAUUCAUGUUGGUCGUCUAAUGAGUUGAUUAUAAGGCAGUCAGGUUAGGUGUGCAUGGCUUUAACUAAAUUCUUUUGCAAUGUGCAUAUAUUUCGUUAGGAACAUCAACCUUCAUAAAAUUUGUUUCUACUUACCUAUGGUUGUGUUCUCUAUUAUAAUAUUUAACCUGCGGUAUCAUAGGUGUCACAUUUGUUUGUUUUUUCUCCCAAAUUUUAUGCAGGCUGCAAUUUUAAUUGAGGAUGGACUAUACAUUAGAAAUCACUAAGAUGAAUACUUCUCCCACUGUAUUGCUAAAAGAACAUGCCUAAUUAACAAAGAAAAUGCUAAAUAGACAACUGCAACUCAUGUGUAUUUAUUUCUUCAUGUUCCUUGACAGAGUAUUCUGAAAGAUGUUCUUUAUCAAUCCAGAGUAUUCUGAAACAUGUUUCCGUUUAAGAACGGGAUUGCCAUGGCAGGGCAUCUGAGAUUUAGUAUGGUUUGAGUCUAAAUUACAGCUAAAGAAAUAAGGACGGCUUGCUACUUUCAAUUUUUUGUUUGGUUCAUCCAAAUCCCAUCAUGUUAGAUAAGUACUGGAGAACAUGCUUUCCAAAGCAAAUUUAUUAUCUAUCCUUUCUCUAUCAAUUUUAUUUUUAAGUUUCGAUUUCUGUUUGCUUGACCCAAAUUCCUACAGAUGCACGAUUUCAUGAUAGUGCGCUUUUUAAAUCCUCGCCACCUCCAUGUACCUGGGUUGGACGAAUUACUUGCACUACUCGCUUUCAUAGGUUUGUUUAUUAUUUUGUUCCUGAAAUAUCUCAUUUUUUCUGUUUUGAUGCUAAAGCCUACAAGAUAUGUCAUCAACGAAUAUUAUUUUUUGCAGUAUAGAGGAAAGUAUAACUUAUUCUCAAAUACCUUGAUUUAGGGCUUAUAUUCUGUAAGAAACGAAUCUUGAGACAAAUAGAUUCUUACUGGAAAUAGGUGCUUCCGGGUGUAUUAAUUCCAUGUUUCUAAAAAAAAAAUUCAUUGUUGCCUCCAAAUGAAGCAUGAUACUCUGCGUACUAUGUAUGCUUGAAGAAUUUACUCUAAGGUUUAUACUUAAACCCAAACAUUCCUGAACAGUGAGUUCUUAACGGAGAUACAUUUUACAUUUCUUUAAGGGCAAAAAGAUUGGAUGGUUCAGACUCUUUUGUUAUGAUAUUUUCUUUUUACCAAUUUUGCUACCCUGUAUGAAUUAAGCGAAAUUACCAUCAAGUCUUAGAACGGCUAUGGAGUAUGUUGGUGGUGGUGACUGAAUUCCCAAGUUUUCUUCCUUUGCCAUCAUGCCUCUGUUAUGAAUACAGUUUUCAUGAUAGUUAAAGCACACUGUUCAGAAGGGAUUAUGUAUGCAACCAUCAUACUGCUGACUACAUUGUGCAUCUCCCAUUUAUUAACUUCUAUCUGAGAAGUCCUUUUUCUGUUUUGUCUGCAUAUAUGAUAUACUGCUUAUAUUUACCUCUUGCUGGUUAAUUUCAAGAACACCUCGAUUGAGCAAUUGACAAUGUUACAUUGUGCAAGAGCUGGGAUCAUCCGCUUGCCACUUUCUUCCAAACGUAAAGAUGAAAAGGAUAUUUCAUUUCUAUUCUUACAUGUCAAGCUAAUAAGGUGAAGUAGUAAUACAUAAUCUUUUCACGGGAAAUAAUAUUUUCUUGAAAAGAUAACUUUUUUAGUCAUUGCUUUGCAUCCGUACUAGCAUUAGGGUAUUGCGUUGUUGCAGAUGAUGGGUGUAUUUGGUAUCUAUCGAUAUUAAUAUAUUCCCUUUAUCGAAUAAUUGCUUUGCAAUAGAUGUCCAAUUUUUGUACUUCCUCCCUUAAUUUUUGUAGGGCAUUGAUGUGUUGAAACAGUAGUAUAUUGAGCUUCAUGAGUGAUUUAUCCACAGCUUUACCAGAAUACUCAUAUUAUUUAGUAGUUAUAUUUUUAUAUGCCAGGAUCAUUAUUUAUUAUCAGAAUUGGUUCUGCCUUUGGAAUUAGCCUGUUGAAGUUUUUCCAUAGUAUAUAAUCUUUCUUUCAUUAGUUCAGUAGGCAUGAAUAAGAUUAUCGUAUAGACUGUAACAAUCAAGCUCUCCUUAGAAGUGUGUUAUCACAUACUUCUCUUAAAAUAGCUUAUGAAGCUUCAUUUUGAGGGCAUGAGGGUCCAAUAUCUCCUUUUUCUCAUUAUCUUCCAAUUUGUAUUAUAUGUGAUCCGAAUUAUUUAUGUAGAAUAUGGUUUACGGUAAAUUUAGAGAGAUUCAUACAUAGAUUUGCAGGCCAAACCCUGAAGAACUGGUAGUAGUUUUUCCUUCGGCAAGCAUGAAGAGGAGAAAUGGAAUUACGAAUAUGCAAAGGGAAGCGAUGUAUUUGCACAGUACAUUCUUUUUCUCAUCAACUCUAUAUUAUACAUACAUAUGAUGCUUGCUUUCAGGUUCCUUGCACAUUCCACAUUAAUUAAGUAACCGAGAUGCCAAAUUAUUUUAUAGUUCGUCGAAAGUAAAAUUUUCCAAUUCAGUUGUGCUAGCUCCCAUAUGAUAUCAUGUUACUCUGUCAGGCUGCCAUGUGUUGGCAAUGUUUAGCUAAACAAAUUAGUAAUAGUCUUAUUUGUUUGCUACAAAAUAAAUUAGCUAUAGUCCUCUUCCAAUGUCACAUGUUUCACCAAGAUAGAGUUCUUUGAGUGUCACAGAAUUUUCUGUUAUAUAUAAAUGCUAGCUCCCAUAUGAUAUUGUGUUUCUCUAUCAGGCUGCCAUGAGUUGGCAAUGUUUAGCUAAACAAAUUAGCAAUAGUACUCUUUGAGUGCUACAAAAUAAAUCGGCAAUAGUCCUCUUCCAGUGUCACAUGUUUCACUAAGGAGAGUUCUUUGAGUGCCACACAAUUUUCUGUUCUAUUAUGUACAUUACACCCUUCCAUGCAUAAUAAGUGUAUUAGUUUAGUUUAAAAAGGACCCAAGAAUAUCCUCUCAUGCACAGUAAUCUAUUCAGUGAAAGAUGACCAUGGAAAAGUGGUGUAUUUCUGCACGUUUAGAACACACGGUUUGCUGAUAUAUGGAAAUAGCUAUUCAGUGAAAGAUGACCAUGGAAAAGUGCUUAAUUUAGAUUUCUGGGUGUCAUUCCUUCUCAGGUUUGCUGGUUAUGCAGACCUGCUCUACUCUUAGCGCAUGGCCUGUAGUUGGCCUGUAGUUCAUGGUUAUUUGUAUGUAUCUGCCAACUAUGUUAGAAAUGGCAAGCCUACAAUAAAAGGAAAUUUGCAGGAUACACCAUGUAUGUUUUAAAAUAAUCAUGAUUUGAGAACAUAAAUACUUCUAUUAAUCAAUUCCCUGCUCAUAUCUUCGAGACUAUUGCUUUUUCUUUGUAGAAAUUUGAUGAUUUCUUUGUAUGAAAUAUGAUGAUAUGCCCACAAGCCCACAAACACCACUUUGGAUCACUUUGAACGCAUGAAUGGCAAACUAUAGGCAUCAUUAUUUGUUUGAAAAGAAUAUUUGAACAGAAAUUUAAUGGAGAACACUGCUUGGACCACCCACUUCAGUGAAUAGUAGAGGCCAAGGACCCAACAAGAGGAGCUAGAACAUGCCAAGCAUGGCACCGACGAGUCCGUCCGGUCUGAACUUGCAAGGGAUCUCUACAUUACGUGAGGCAGCGCUUGAGACGUUGCCUUCGGUUGUUUCCUUUCAAUCUUUUAGAUGUAUGCUAUGUACUGAAACUUACUAAGGGUGUACUAUUACAAUGUAAUUUCAUGCAUUUCUUAUGUUCAAUUUACUAUUACACCUCCGCAUCUCCGUCGUAGUUUGACAACGUAACAAAGCAUCCUUUGUUCUUCAAC